RNAcentral lists this long non-coding RNA (1954 nucleotides) under Populus trichocarpa (black cottonwood). Its description in RNAcentral is "long non-coding RNA (PTRI_LNC003939)". Lineage: Eukaryota; Viridiplantae; Streptophyta; Magnoliopsida; Malpighiales; Salicaceae. The record is from RNAcentral.
GAGUGAAAAACCGUGAGAGAGAAGGGAGAAGGGAGAAAGAAGAAGAAGAAGAGAAAAGAGGGAAUUUAGAAAGGAAAUAGAAAGGAGUUGGAGGAAAUAAGUAAAAAGGUAAGAUUUAGGUUGUUAAAUGUAUAAAUUUGUAUUAUUGAGCUUUUAAUUUUGGUUUUGAUAAAUGUUAGGGUUUUGAAAAUUUGUGUUUUGGGUUUAAUUGAUGAAUUAAAUUGAAUGUUAUAAGGUUGAUUGUUAUGGGUAAUUGAUUAAUGAGUUGAUUAUGGAAGAUUGUGAUGAUUUUGAGUUAUGAAUUGUGUAAAUGGUGAAUGUUGAGUUAGAAAUUUGGCAAGAACAGUAGGUUUCUGUUAAAAAUUCUGGGUUGGAGGUUGAAGAUGACGAAAAUUCAAUUUGGUCCCUCAAUUUUGGAAAAUUACAGUUUAGUCCCCAAACUUUGGAAAAUUUGCAGAUUGGUCCCUGGAGCAUAUUCCGAGAUUCUGAACAGAAUAACAUAUGAAUUAUGGACAGAAUUACUGUAUAGAUAAGAGAAUUUAACACUUUCAAUUUAGUCCUUCAAUUUGACAAAAAUUACAAUUUGACCCUAAAAAUUUGGUAAAAUUCCAGAAUGGUCCUUGGAGUAUAAUGAGAUGAUCUGGACAGAAAUGAGGACUAAUUAUGGUCAGAAUUUCAGUAUAUUCAUGGAUUUAUGAUAAAUUUCAGUUUGGUCCUCCAAUUGGACAAAAAUUGCAAUUUGACCCUUAAAAUAGGAUAAAUUACAGAUUGGUCCCUAGCUGUAAUAUUAGCCUUUUCAGAUUAGUUUGAUGAAUAAUUAAGGGUUAUUUAGUGAAUUAUUGCCAAUUUUAUUAGUUGUUUUAUUAUGGAUUAGAUUUCGGGAAAACCGUUAAAUUUUGGGUUUUUGAGAAAAUUGACUAGUUAGUUCAAAAACAUAUAGGGUUACGGAAUACAUCAUUAGUUAAGUUUAUUAAAUAGGUUAAAUGUUCUUUUGAGUCGUUCUUGAAUAUGUCUCCUUUGUAUUCAGAUAAUCCUGAUAUUCUACCGACAGGACGUCAGUAGGAUUUUCUUCGGUGUCUGCUUUUGGCUUCUGUUUGCUUUUGAGUCAGGUGAGUGGAUAAUUUUCCAUAUGCAUGAGAAAUAGUAUAAAUAUUUGAUUUGUUAUUAUGAAUUGAAUCAUGCUUCUUGAUAAUAUAUAUGUUGAUUAUUAUCCUUGUUAUGAUAAAGCAUGAUCAAUUGUUGAAUCUGAAUUCUUGAUAUGAACCAGUAUAUAUUUUGAAUUGAAUUCUGAAUUGAUAGCUCCUCAUUUGAUUGAUGUCAUGAGUUGAGCCUUGAGAUUUGAAUAUGUCUGUUUAAUUAUGAUUAUGAACCUAUGGUAUGUCAGUCAGAAUACCCAUGCUAACAGGUUAGUGUUAGUCUUUGUGCACAUCGUAUCUGAACCCUAGUUGGUCGGGGGAGUCACCAACCUGUGUGGACUGAUCAUCCCACAGUACGGAGCCUCAUGCUCAUUGCAUUUUGAUUUUCUGACGAGCUUUACCAUAUGAUAUUCUUGUUAUGGCCUAUUUGAAAAACCUUUCUAUAAGAACCUAGAGCCAUACUUGUAUAUAUAUUUCUCAUUGCUGUAUUACCUCGUGUGUGUAUAUUGAACGUUAUCUACUCACUGAGUUGUUGAACUCACCAUCUCAUUAUUUAUCCUUUUCAGGCUUAUAGCUUGAUAGCAGGUCAUUUUGUUGGACCUUCAGAACCUGCUUUUUGGUUGUAAUUUGUACCUUCCUUUUAUGUCAAGUUAGUGCUCCAAAACUAUGAAUUAUAUUAACUCUUGUAUUAAGACAAUUCAAUUAUAUUAUGAAGUUGAUUUUGUUGUUAAUGCUGCGUUGAACUCUGAUUGAGUUAGGAUAAGUUUGUGUGUAAGUUUGGGUUCGCAUAGGUAUGGAACCUUGGAGGGGAACCUUGC